GGGGACGUAGCUCAGUUGGUAGAGCACUGGAUUGUGGUUCCAGGCGUCAAGGGUUCGAGCCCCUUCGUCCCUUCCA
RNAcentral lists this transfer RNA (76 nucleotides) under Candidatus Alcyoniella australis. Its description in RNAcentral is "tRNA-His". It matches the Rfam family "tRNA". Rfam says of the family: Transfer RNA (tRNA) molecules are approximately 80 nucleotides in length. Their secondary structure includes four short double-helical elements and three loops (D, anti-codon, and T loops). Lineage: Bacteria; Candidatus Lernaellota; Candidatus Lernaellaia; Candidatus Lernaellales; Candidatus Alcyoniellaceae. The record is from RNAcentral.